UUCUUCUCAUCUGACGGAGCGCGAUGCGUAGGCCUAUCUGAUGGAGCGAUGUCAGACUGCUAACUAAUUCCUGACACACGCCACAUUUACAUAACAGGAGGAAAGCGUGUGACCUAGAAUGGCACAGAGAGAAAAAAGUGUUUCUCUAUAGAGGAAGAGUCCAGGUGCUACGUUCCACAUAGAUGACAACAUAACAGCAAGGAAACAAAAUGCAAGUCCUGCGGGUAAAAGAGGCAGCAACUACUGGAAGCACAAUAUUCCAUCAGACAAACUGAAAGCAACAAUUCAUCCACCAUGUUGGGGCUACUGUUUAUCUUCUAUUCAUUCCAUAUUCUCUCUGUAAAAUCAGGUUUGCAUUCUUUGUUGCUGUUUCAUAUAUAUUUAGUGGGUGAGACUCCAUUCCCAGAAUCCCAGACUUUGUUUAUGCUGGAUGACAUUCAGAUUGGAUACUACAACUCAAAAGACAACAAGUUUGUACACAGAGGCAUGAAUGGUCUGGAGAGAACACCUGAUGCCAUAGAACUGGAACUAGCUCCUAAAUUGAAAUUGAAUCAUGAACGUAUGAAAAAUAAGGUCUCUUAUCUGAGACAGAUUCUGAACCACACAAACAGUAUUCAUGUUCUACAGAGAGCUGCAGGAUGUCAGUUACAGGAAAAUGACGACGUAGGAAUUUACUUGAGCAAAGACGCAUUCAACGGGGAGGCUGGAGAUGUCCGCUAUUACAAUCCACAAAAUGACAGCCUUCAUUCUGAC
Long non-coding RNA from Alosa sapidissima (American shad), 753 nucleotides. RefSeq lists it as uncharacterized. NCBI's taxonomy places the organism in Eukaryota, Metazoa, Chordata, Actinopteri, Clupeiformes, Clupeidae. The transcript is spliced from 4 exons. The record is from RefSeq and is a predicted model, not a curated record.